RNAcentral lists this ribosomal RNA (516 nucleotides) under Metarhizium brunneum. RNAcentral describes it as "eukaryotic LSU rRNA". The stretch from base 118 to 271 matches the Rfam family "5.8S ribosomal RNA". The record is from RNAcentral. Lineage: Eukaryota; Fungi; Ascomycota; Sordariomycetes; Hypocreales; Clavicipitaceae.
CCCUGUGAAUUAUACCUUUAAUUGUUGCUUCGGCGGGACUUCGCGCCCGCCGGGGACCCAAACCUUCUGAAUUUUUUUUAAUAAGUAUCUUCUGAGUGGUUAAAAAAAAUGAAUCAAAACUUUCAACAACGGAUCUCUUGGUUCUGGCAUCGAUGAAGAACGCAGCGAAAUGCGAUAAGUAAUGUGAAUUGCAGAAUUCAGUGAAUCAUCGAAUCUUUGAACGCACAUUGCGCCCGUCAGUAUUCUGGCGGGCAUGCCUGUUCGAGCGUCAUUACGCCCCUCAAGUCCCCUGUGGACUUGGUGUUGGGGAUCGGCGAGGCUGGUUUUCCAGCACAGCCGUCCCUCAAAUCAAUUGGCGGUCUCGCCGUGUGGCCCUCCUCUGCGCAGUAGUAAAACACUCGCAACAGGAGCCCGGCGCGGUCCACUGCCGUAAAACCCCCCAACUUUUUAUAGUUGACCUCGAAUCAGGUAGGACUACCCGCUGAACUUAAGCAUAUCAAUAAGCGGAGGAAAAGA